Molecule: ribosomal RNA, 516 nt
Filed under: Prionobrama filigera (glass bloodfin tetra)
Lineage: Eukaryota; Metazoa; Chordata; Actinopteri; Characiformes; Characidae
Description: partial 16S ribosomal RNA
Rfam family: Bacterial large subunit ribosomal RNA
Source: RNAcentral
GGCCGCGGUAUUUUGACCGUGCUAAGGUAGCGUAAUCAUUUGUCUUUUAAAUUAAGACCUGUAUGAAUGGUGGAACGAGGGCUAAACUGUCUCCUUUUUCAAGUCAGUGAAAUUGAUCUGCCCGUGCAGAAGCGGACAUAAACAUACAAGACGAGAAGACCCUAUGGAGCUUUAAGAUACAAAGAUCAAGUAUGUAAAAAUUACAUGAAAUGGAUAUAAAACAUAGUAUUUACUGAUUUUCAUCUUCGGUUGGGGCGACCGUGGGGAAAACAAAACCCCCAUGUGGAAAAGGAAAAACCUAUAAUAUAAGAGGGACACCUCUAAGUCUCAGAAAAUCUGACCUAAAAGAUCCGGCUAAUUAGCUGAUUAACGGACCAAGUUACCCUAGGGAUAACAGCGCAAUCCCCUCCAAGAGCCCAUAUCGACGAGGGGGUUUACGACCUCGAUGUUGGAUCAGGRCAUCCUAAUGGUGCAGCCGCUAUUAAGGGUUCGUUUGUUCAACGAUUAAAGUCCUAC